AAACGAAUCGUUGGAAUAUUCCCGAAGCUAACGAAGCAUUUCCCAAAAGUUAAUAUUCCCAAAAGUUAAACCGAAGAAAUUAACGCGAAUAGUAAAAUUUCGAAAUUGUACGAAGGCCACGUGACCAGAUCGUAUUGGAAUUUGAAGUGCAUGGAAAAAGACAACUCGAAGUACAAACCUUGAGCUGACGCCACGUGAACUAAUGGAUGCAGAAAAGCAAUUAAC
Molecule: long non-coding RNA, 225 nt
Organism: Bombus impatiens (common eastern bumble bee)
Lineage: Eukaryota; Metazoa; Arthropoda; Insecta; Hymenoptera; Apidae
Exons: 2
Source: RefSeq, a predicted model, not a curated record